This 465-nucleotide ribosomal RNA is filed under the name Vreelandella stevensii. Its description in RNAcentral is "partial 16S ribosomal RNA". It matches the Rfam family "Bacterial small subunit ribosomal RNA", at positions 338 to 795 of the family's 1533-position model. Lineage: Bacteria; Pseudomonadati; Pseudomonadota; Gammaproteobacteria; Oceanospirillales; Halomonadaceae. The record is from RNAcentral.
CCUACGGGUGGCAGCAGUGGGGAAUAUUGGACAAUGGGGGUAACCCUGAUCCAGCCAUGCCGCGUGUGUGAAGAAGGCCCUCGGGUUGUAAAGCACUUUCAGUGAGGAAGAACGCCUGGUGGUUAAUACCCAUCAGGAAAGACAUCACUCACAGAAGAAGCACCGGCUAACUCCGUGCCAGCAGCCGCGGUAAUACGGAGGGUGCGAGCGUUAAUCGGAAUUACUGGGCGUAAAGCGCGCGUAGGUGGCUUGAUAAGCCGGUUGUGAAAGCCCCGGGCUCAACCUGGGAACGGCAUCCGGAACUGUCAAGCUAGAGUGCAGGAGAGGAAGGUAGAAUUCCCGGUGUAGCGGUGAAAUGCGUAGAGAUCGGGAGGAAUACCAGUGGCGAAGGCGGCCUUCUGGACUGACACUGACACUGAGGUGCGAAAGCGUGGGUAGCAAACAGGAUUAGAUACCCGUGUAGUC